UCCUCAUGGUUGCUAGUCCAAUUUGUUACCACUGAGCCAUGAUGAAACUCCCUCAUUUUCAUCUUAUACUUUGCACCUUAGAGAUCUCCAAUUAAAUGGGUCGUAUGAGUGUAGGUCUUGCUCUGUUGGUCCUGUGCCUUUUCCUCCAUCACCACUCCUAGGAUCAAGGACAUGCAGGAAAAUGUCAUCAUGCACACUUCUACAAGUUCACCAUCCACAAAGACUUAUACUUAAAGCCAGCCCCUUCAAAGGGAAUGAUUCCCAAUAUAUGAAUCACAGAUGCCAGCUCAACUGUGAGACCCUCAAAUGAACAAUGAACGGUAACACCCACGUGGGCCUGUUUGCCAUGUCUGACACUCCUGCAGGGACAGAGCUGACCUCUCACUAUAACUCCAUUGUCUGGGGAAUAAGAACACAGUCUGUCAGUAUAAAGCCUCCCACGGCAGUGGGUUCCUCAGGGACAGGCCAAAGAUCUCAGCAUCCUUUUCCUCAGAGGACAAGAGCAAAAAGACCAAGAAGAAAACAAGAAGACUCCUCAGGAAGGGUGAGGGGAAGAAGCAGUCUGAGGAUGAGUGCUUCCUCUGGUGAGACAGUGGUCAGCUGGUGCUGUGCGACCACGUGUCCAGCACCAAGUCCUACCACCUGCCAUGCCUGGGCCUUGGCAAGCAGCCCUUAGGGAAGCUGGAAUAACCUUGGCAUUUUUGUGACAUGCAUGACAAACCUACUUCAUUUUGCUACUUUUGUCCCAGUUCUCUUGCAAGGAAAGCCAGGACUGGAUGGCCCUCAGCUCCACCCAGGAUGGGCAGUCAUACUGCAGGGAGCAUGGCCUGAGGGCAGAGCCAGCUAGAAGUGCCAAGGCUGGGCAGCCCUGCUUGUAGCCUGCCAAGUCCAAGUUCAGGAGGAAGAGAAGGAGGUGCUGGUGGAGGGUCACAGGAGGCAAAUAGCACCAAGCCAGGGCUCCAUCAGUUCAGGGGCAGCCUCAAGAGGCUCACCAGUGGGAAGAAGGCUGAGGAUUGGGAACUGGCCUUCUGUAUGCAGCCAGAAGCCACCAUGUCAGAUGCACAGGCCUCCUCAGGAGGGAGCACCUCCCACCACUGAGCUGUCUCAGCAGUGCCCACCUGUGCCCACACUGAGGAACUUCCAGCCAUGCAGUUCCCUCUGUGCAGAGGACAGAGGCUUCACACAUGAUCUCUGAAUAUCAGGGGGAUUCUCUCCCAUCUUUGUACUUAGGUUAAAGUUAUGAUUGAAAAUUAAUUGGCAUAUGAAAUAUUUGUAUCUCA
This is a long non-coding RNA of Phacochoerus africanus (Common warthog), 1280 nucleotides long. RefSeq lists it as uncharacterized. The record is from RefSeq and is a predicted model, not a curated record. The transcript has 2 exons. Lineage: Eukaryota; Metazoa; Chordata; Mammalia; Artiodactyla; Suidae.